Molecule: ribosomal RNA, 855 nt
Filed under: uncultured bacterium
Lineage: Bacteria
Description: bacterial SSU rRNA
Rfam family: Bacterial small subunit ribosomal RNA
Source: RNAcentral
AGAGUUUGAUCCUGGCUCAGGACGAACGCUGGCGGCGUGCUUAACACAUGCAAGUCGAACGGAAAGGCCCCUUUGGGGGUACUCGAGUGGCGAACGGGUGAGUAACACGUGAGUAACCUGCCCUUGACUUCGGGAUAACUUCAGGAAACUGGGGCUAAUACCGGAUAGGAAUCCUUGCUGCAUGGUGGGGGUUGGAAAGCUUCGGCGGUUUUGGAUGGACUCGCGGCUUAUCAGCUUGUUGGUGGGGUAGUGGCUUACCAAGGCUUUGACGGGUAGCCGGCCUGAGAGGGCGACCGGCCACAUUGGGACUGAGAUACGGCCCAGACUCCUACGGGAGGCAGCAGUGGGGAAUAUUGCACAAUGGGCGGAAGCCUGAUGCAGCGACGCCGCGUGCGGGAUGACGGCCUUCGGGUUGUAAACCGCUUUCAGCAGGGGCGAAGCUUUUGUGACGGUACCUGCAGAAGAAGCACCGGCUAACUACGUGCCAGCAGCCGCGGUGAUACGUAGGGUGCGAGCGUUGUCCGGAUUUAUUGGGCGUAAAGAGCUCGUAGGUGGUUGAUUGCGUCGGAAGUGAAAACUUGGGGCUUAACCCUGAGCGUGCUUUCGAUACGGGUUGACUUGAGGAAGGUAGGGGAGAAUGGAAUUCCUGGUGGAGCGGUGGAAUGCGCAGAUAUCAGAGGAACACCAGUGGCGAAAGCGGUUCUCUGGAUCUUUUCCUGACGCUGAGAGCGAAAGCGUGGGGAGCGAACAGCUUAGAUACCCUGUAGUCCACGCUGUAAACGGUGGGUACUAGGUGUGGGGUCCAUUCCACGGAUUCCGUGCCGUAGCUAACGCAUUAAGUACCCCGCCUGGGGA